AUGACAUCUCAAGCCAGAAGACUCUCUAAUGCCCAGAUCUUGGUAUCUAAUGCUAUUCUUCAAUAAAAAGAAUCAGAGCUCCUUGGAAAAAAGGCUGAUUCCAGGAAUGGGACAGGAAAAAUACCAGAAGAUGACAUUUGGUGAUGAGGAGCCAGCCAGAAAGAAGAUGAAGAGAAAGAGCGGUCCAGGCAUAGAAGACGGACUUACCUAGUCGAGGGUGCCUCUCGUAUUAAGCCCUAAGGGUUUCAGCAGUCAGCUCUCAGGUUUGGGUAG
Molecule: long non-coding RNA, 273 nt
Organism: Tupaia belangeri chinensis (Chinese tree shrew)
Lineage: Eukaryota; Metazoa; Chordata; Mammalia; Scandentia; Tupaiidae
Exons: 2
Source: RefSeq, a predicted model, not a curated record